This 253-nucleotide ribosomal RNA is filed under the name uncultured bacterium. Its description in RNAcentral is "partial 16S ribosomal RNA". It matches the Rfam family "Bacterial small subunit ribosomal RNA", at positions 524 to 776 of the family's 1533-position model. The record is from RNAcentral.
UACGUAGGUGACCAGCGUUGUCCGGAUUUACUGGGCGUAAAGAGCGCGCAGGCGGUCGUUCAAGUCGAGUGUGAAAGCCCCCGGCUCAACUGGGGAGGGUCACUCGAUACUGAUCGACUUGAAGGCAGGAGAGGGAAGCGGAAUUCCCGGUGUAGUGGUGAAAUGCGUAGAUAUCGGGAGGAACACCAGUGGCGAAGGCGGUUGCCUGGGGCUUUGCUGACGCUGAUGCGCGAAAGCGUGGGGAGCGAUCCGG